RNAcentral lists this ribosomal RNA (500 nucleotides) under uncultured bacterium. RNAcentral describes it as "partial 16S ribosomal RNA". It matches the Rfam family "Bacterial small subunit ribosomal RNA", at positions 29 to 523 of the family's 1533-position model. The record is from RNAcentral.
AUUGAACGCUGGCGGCAUGCCUUACACAUGCAAGUCGAACGGCAGCACGGGAGCAAUCCUGGUGGCGAGUGGCGAACGGGUGAGUAAAGUAUCGGAACGUGCCCAGUCGUGGGGGAUAACGUAGCGAAAGUUACGCUAAUACCGCAUACGAUCUAUGGAUGAAAGCGGGGGAUCGCAAGACCUCGCGCGAUUGGAGCGGCCGAUAUCAGAUGAGGUAGUUGGUGGGGUGAAGGCUCACCAAGCCGACGAUCUGUAGCUGGUAUGAGAGGACGACCAGGCACACUGGGACUGAGAUAGGGCCCAGACUCCUACGGGAGGCAGCAGUGGGGAAUUUUGGACAAUGGGCGAAAGCCUGAUCCAGCCAUGCCGCGUGCAGGAUGAAGGCCUUCGGGUUGUAAACUGCUUUUGUACGGAACGAAAAGGUUUGGGCUAAUAAGCUGAGCUCAUGACGGUACCGUAAGAAUAAGCACCGGCUAACUACGUGCCAGCCGCCGCGGUAA